AUUGAACGCUGGCGGCAGGCUUAACACAUGCAAGUCGAACGAGUGGCGGACGGGUGAGCAAUGCUUGGGAAUCUAUCCUAUGGAGGGGGAUAACUAUGGGAAACUGUAGCGAACACCGCGUACCCUAGGAUGAGCACAAGUGGGAUUAGGUAGUGGGUGAGGUAAAGGCACACCAAGCCGAUGAGCUCUAGCUGGUCUGAGAGGAUGACCAGCCACACUGGGACUGAGACACGGCCCAGACUCAUACGUGAGGCAGCAGUGGGGAAUAUUGCGCAAUGGGGGCAACCUGACACAGCCAUGCCGCGUGUGUGAAGAAGGCCUUCGGGUUGUAAAGUUCUUUCGGUAGCGAGGCGUUAACUACAGAAGAAGCACCGGCUAACGCCGUGCCAGCCGCCGCGGUAAUUC
Molecule: ribosomal RNA, 405 nt
Filed under: uncultured bacterium
Lineage: Bacteria
Description: partial 16S ribosomal RNA
Rfam family: Bacterial small subunit ribosomal RNA
Source: RNAcentral